UAACUAAUUUUUUAGUAAUAUUUUUUUUUAACCAGCCAAUAAUGGAAGUUAAGCUCGUUUAUAUACAAUUAUUAUGCGAUCUUUACAAGAUUUUAUAGCCUUUUAAAACUUGACAUUUUUCUUCCAUAUAACAGAAAUUUAUAACAUUGUAAGUAAAAAUGAACCCGUGACAUUUAUUUACAGGUCAAGUAAUACACACUUGUUGUAACUACGUUUACGCCGCGUAAAAAUAAAAGUUUGACGUAAGAAAGUAACUUAAAAGUAAUUGAUCAUGCUGUGACGUAUGGUAAGAACGUCAUUGUCUCUACGUCUUUUAGUUAAUGACGACGAUUCUAUAAAUACCAUCGAUAGCCUUCGUUACAAAACUAUCGACUUCCGAUUUGAAUUGGAACGUCUAGAGGUUUUCUUAUGGUCAUCAAACUACUCUACACUAUACUGGAUUGUUAAAUGGUUAUAAUUUUUUCAUAAUGCGUCUAUCUUCGUCACGAUCUACUGGUGAAUUAUUCAUUAUAUUUAUUCGUCAAUAUUUAUUCGUAAACAUUAAUUAUUUAUGAAAUUAAAAAAGAGGAAUCUGAAUAUGAUCGUGUGUUUGAUAAAGACAGCUUCCCCAAGUCGUAUUGAACGAGCAGGCUUGGUCGUCAAGUCUGGUGGCGUUUCUGCCGAGGGCAACGCCCUCGCCAGCCCUCUCAUCCCCAUUCAGAAGAAACGUCGAAGAAAAAGAGGGAUGUCCCGAGGACGGGAAGGGUAAGCUUUCAACAGGGGUGGAAAUUACAGACAAGUUACAGCGAGUCGAUUCACUGUGCUCGAGCCAGUUCUACAGAUUGCUGAGUGGAUGUUGGGGACUGGAACGAAGUGGUGGAUGGUUUUAUGGUCGUCGAUGAUCCCGAUGCAACCGCCGAUUUCUCCGAUCUUUUUCGCCGAUCCUCGUUCGUGUAAUAACGGGAGUAGGGCGAAUUGUCCCACACCUGGGGUAUCUCGUAUCCCAGUUCAUUCACAGCGCCAUAACUGGAACAGAAAUUCUGCUUAUUAAUAUAAUUAAAUUUUAAAAAUAUGUAAAACUUGUUUCGUUAAACUUACUCGUAAUUUUUACGAUCGUAGAAGGCAUUGUUGAGCGUAUUGGAACGAGAUGGUUUCUCCUCUUCGAUGAGAGCUGCUUUUAAUCCGCCUAAUCCUGACGCGGCUAGAGUUCCUUGGAUCGAGACAAGGAAUUAUGAUAAAUCAAAAUGCUCGGAGAUUUACGAUGGGAGAAACUUACUCUUUUCCGCGGUGGACGAAUAGGACGAGCUAGGAUUGUUCUCUGGUUGAUGGUUCUGUUGGUUGCCGAACAUCAACAUUUCCUGUGCCCGUUUAGCUAAACAGUCAAAACAGGAUUAACAGGUUUGUUGGCAAGGAUUGGACAAUCAUGAGGAGGGAGCACAGAGUGAGUAGUAACCACACCCAAUCGCACAUCAUCUGUGAAGAAAGAUUGAUCCUUUUAUAUUAUCCUUUUAUAAUUUUUAUUCAAUUUUAUACUGGAGGGUAUAAUAGGUCUGAUACAAGUAUAUAUAUAUAUUGGCUAAGGUUAUGCAAAGGGUUUCUUGACCCUUUAAUCAAACGUGAAAUUGAUUGUGCAGUUAGAAGGGUUGCUAUAAAGUGUUUCCCCUCGUGCACACACGUUGACGUUUACACCCCUCGCAGUUAAAUGAAGAUAGCAGGUCACAACGAAAGAAUCUUAAAUGUCACACAAAUGCGAAAUGUCAGGAAUCUAUUUCCAUUGCAUGUGAAAAAUUAAAGGGCAUAUACGUCGCAACGUUCCAUAG
Molecule: long non-coding RNA, 1799 nt
Filed under: Apis mellifera (honey bee)
Lineage: Eukaryota; Metazoa; Arthropoda; Insecta; Hymenoptera; Apidae
Description: uncharacterized LOC107965262, transcript variant X4
Source: RNAcentral